Long non-coding RNA from Oreochromis aureus, 1258 nucleotides. Lineage: Eukaryota; Metazoa; Chordata; Actinopteri; Cichliformes; Cichlidae. The record is from Ensembl.
AGCACAUGGAAGUGAGGUUUGAGAUUUGUGUCUGAGAGACGUUCGAGCGACUGUCGGGAAAACGGAAUAUAAAGUGAAUUAAAGAAGCAGCCCGAGCAGCCCGCACCUUUGGGAUGUGGUGCAGCAGGAGAUUCGCAUCAUGGAUGUGCAGCCGACAAAUCUGUUGCAACUUUGUGAUGCUGUCAUGUCAACAUGGACCAGAAUCUGACGAAUCUUUCCAGCAGCUUUUUGGAUGAAGGAGGCAGUUCUGAAGGCAAAAGAAGCGCUCUCUCAGCCCGCUGGCUUUCCUCUGCAGCAGCUGUCGGUCAGCGUCAGUUGGUGUAUCUCGGAAACACAGAUCGCUAAUGAGGCUGGAGCUCUCGAGGACUGCCUGGCCCUGAACUCAGCAUCACACGGUGCUAAGUGACGAGGAUCCCCUGCUGCACCCAGGGAGGGUUAUGCAUCUAAAACGUGAAUAUUAUAUACGUCACGUCGAAUCAGGAGACGGGUGCUCUCAUCUGCAGCUUGAGCUGUCUGGCUUUGAGAUCUCGCUGUGCUCGGGGUGGUCCUGCAAACUCAGGAAAGUCCAGGUACGAUUUGAUUAAUGUGGGUUUUGGCUCGUCUGGACAGAAACAUCAGCAAGGACACUGUGGACGUAAAAUGCUUCUGCUGCUGCUGCUGUGAUGGUGGUGUUGCAGACCCCCCAUGCAGGCCAGAUCUUUCUGCAGCUUCUGCACCGACACAUGAUCUGACUAGGAAGGAUGCAAAGGUGGAAGCAGACCGUGCUGGAUUUAGUUUCACAGCAUCUUACUGGAGCAAACGCACACAACAUACUGCAAGGUUUUCAGUAGUAUCUACUUCCCCCUUUUUUUUUCUUUUUUUUGUUUGAGAGGACACGGAUACACCCUGACUGGGCCCCUGUAGUGCUCUACAUUGUGGUUGGGAAGUACCUAGUUUUACAACUGUCAUGCUGGCCUGCUUAAAGGGACAGUGCUGAUCAAUUCGAAGCACAUAUUCAGGGGUCUUUUAGUCACCCUAACAAGGGGGUCACAUGGAUGUUUGAGUCGUCAUUCCUCAUGUGAGGAAUGUGCAGUCCGAAGAGCCGCUUUCUGCAUCAAGCACUGCAUAAAAAUACUGAUUGAUAUUUGUUAAAAGAAUGUCUUUAAUAAAAAGUUGAAUUGAAUUGGGUGUGAGAGUUUCCUGCUUUUGAAAAACGAAAGAGAGAAGACUCACAACUCUACAGGUUCUUUUUAGUCUGAAUGCAUAGUGGAUUUGUUUU